AUUCGCCCUUAGAGUUUGAUCCUGGCUCAGGAUGAACGCUAGCUACAGGCUUAACACAUGCAAGUCGAGGGGAAACGACAUCGAAAGCUUGCUUUUGAUGGGCGUCGACCGGCGCACGGGUGAGUAACGCGUAUCCAACCUGCCCAUCACUUGGGAAUAACCUUGCGAAAGUAAGACUAAUACCCAAUGACAUCCCACGAAGGCAUCCGAAUGGGAUUAAAGAUUUAUCGGUGAUGGAUGGGGAUGCGUCUGAUUAGCUUGUUGGCGGGGUAACGGCCCACCAAGGCAACGAUCAGUAGGGGUUCUGAGAGGAAGGUCCCCCACAUUGGAACUGAGACACGGUCCAAACUCCUACGGGAGGCAGCAGUGAGGAAUAUUGGUCAAUGGGCGAGAGCCUGAACCAGCCAAGUAGCGUGCAGGACGACGGCCCUAUGGGUUGUAAACUGCUUUUAUAAGGGAAUAAAGUGGGUCACGUGUGACUUUUUGCAUGUACCUUAUGAAUAAGGACCGGCUAAUUCCGUGCCAGCAGCCGCGGUAAUACGGAAGGUCCGGGCGUUAUCCGGAUUUAUUGGGUUUAAAGGGAGCGUAGGCCGGAGAUUAAGCGUGUUGUGAAAUGUAGAGGCUCAACCUCUGCACUGCAGCGCGAACUGGUCUUCUUGAGUACGCACAACGUGGGCGGAAUUCGUGGUGUAGCGGUGAAAUGCUUAGAUAUCACGAAGAACUCCGAUUGCGAAGGCAGCUCACGGGAGCGCAACUGACGCUGAAGCUCGAAAGUGCGGGUAUCGAACAGGAUUAGAUACCCUGGUAGUCCGCACGGUAAACGAUGGAUGCCCGCUGUUGGCCUGAAUAGGUCAGCGGCCAAGCGAAAGCAUUAAGCAUCCCACCUGGGGAGUACGCCGGCAACGGUGAAACUCAAAGGAAUUGACG
RNAcentral lists this ribosomal RNA (927 nucleotides) under uncultured bacterium. Its description in RNAcentral is "bacterial SSU rRNA". It matches the Rfam family "Bacterial small subunit ribosomal RNA", at positions 1 to 915 of the family's 1533-position model. The record is from RNAcentral.